GGGGGGGGGGGGGGGGGGGGGGGGGGGGGGGGGGGGGGGGGGGGGGGGGGGGGGGGGGGGGGGGGGGGGGGGGGGGGGGGGGGGGGGGGGGGGGGGGGGGGGGGGAUGGGAUGGGAUGGGAUGGGAUGGGAUGGGAUGGGAUGGGAUGGGAUGGGAAUGGGGUGGGGAUGGGAGUGGGAAUGGGAAUGGGAAGGGGAAGGGGAUGGAUUGGGAUAAGGUUGGGAUGAGGUGGAUAUGGGACUGGCACAAAGAUGAGAUGGUGAUGGGGAAGAGGGUGGGUUGGAGAUGGGAACAGGGAGAGGAUGGAGAUAGGAAUGGGAAAGGAAAUGGGGUUGGGAUGAGGACAGCAUGGGGAUGGGGUUGAAAUGGGAUGGGACGUGGGUGGGAUUAGAUGGGAAUGGGUUUGGGAUGGGAUGGGAUGGGAAUGAGGAUGAGGAUGGUUGCCCUGGGGAUGGGCACAGGGACAGAGGGGACAGGGGUGGCUCUGGGGCAGCCUGUGCCGUGUGUGUGGCUAUUGAAGGCGUCGUUCCAGAGCCGCUGGAUAAUUGCAGCGCUGCCGCCCGGAGCCGAGCGGAUGAGCCGGGCGACAGCUCCCAAUUAUUGCAGCGCAGCGGGAGAAAGGGAAAGAAAGGAAGAGAAGAAAAGCACAAUUAUCGGGGCCUCGGCGACGGCGCCGCGCACGGCUGCAAUUUCCAGGCACAGCCCCGCUCCCAGCGCGUGACACUUCCAUUGGUUUUUAAACGGGCACUUUUCCAUCUCUGCCUCCCGUCCUUCAUCCCACAGGCAGCAGGACAGGCUCCUGAAAUCCCCUUCUCUGCCUCCCGUCCUUCAUCCCACAGGCAGCAGGACAGGCUCCUGAUGCUCCCUGAGCAUGCCAGCCCUUGGUGGGCACCUCAACACCACCCAUCUGCCUGGAGACUCCAAUGCUUCCCCCAUUUCCAUCUCACUCUCCCACCUUUCCCUCCCAGAGCAGCUCCCGGCUCGGGAAUCGCAGCCCUGUAUAUUAAAAAAGGUCAGAUUUCAGCUCUCGUGAGGAAGCAGAAAGCAGAGCAGCGUGAAGAGCCGCAGCUCCUGCUUCUUGGGGGAUCAGG
Molecule: long non-coding RNA, 1091 nt
Filed under: Ficedula albicollis (Collared flycatcher)
Lineage: Eukaryota; Metazoa; Chordata; Aves; Passeriformes; Muscicapidae
Description: lncRNA (ENSFALG00000027074.1)
Source: RNAcentral